This 146-nucleotide unclassified non-coding RNA is filed under the name soil metagenome. RNAcentral describes it as "partial internal transcribed spacer 1". The record is from RNAcentral.
CCGAGUUUACAACUCCCAAACCCCUGUGACAUACCACUUGUUGCCUCGGCGGAUCAGCCCGCUCCCGGUAAAACGGGACGGCCCGCCAGAGGACCCCUAAACUCUGUUUCUAUAUGUAACUUCUGAGUAAAACCAUAAAUAAAUCA